RNAcentral lists this ribosomal RNA (253 nucleotides) under uncultured bacterium. Its description in RNAcentral is "partial 16S ribosomal RNA". It matches the Rfam family "Bacterial small subunit ribosomal RNA", at positions 524 to 776 of the family's 1533-position model. The record is from RNAcentral.
UACAGAGGGGGCAAGCGUUGUUCGGAAUUACUGGGCGUAAAGCGUGCGUAGACGGUUACAUAAGUCGGGUGUGAAAGCCCCGGGCUCAACCUGGGAAUUGCAUUCGAGACUGCGUAGCUAGGGUGCGGAAGAGGGAAGCGGAAUUUCCGGUGUAGCGGUGAAAUGCGUAGAUAUCAGGAGGAAUACCGGUGGCGAAAGCGACUCUCUGGACGGCAACUGACGCUGAGGCACGAAAGCGUGGGGAGCAAACAGG